GACGAACGCUGGCGGCGUGCCUAAUACAUGCAAGUCGUGCGGACCUUUUAAAAGCUUGCUUUUAAAAGGUUAGCGGCGGACGGGUGAGUAACACGUGGGCAACCUGCCUGUAAGACUGGGAUAACGCCGGGAAACCGGGGCUAAUACCAGAUAGUUUUUUCCUCCGCAUGGAGGAAAAAGGAAAGGCGGCUUCGGCUGCCACUUACAGAUGGGCCCGCGGCGCAUUAGCUAGUUGGCGGGGUAACGGCCCACCAAGGCAACGAUGCGUAGCCGACCUGAGAGGGUGAUCGGCCACAUUGGGACUGAGACACGGCCCAAACUCCUACGGGAGGCAGCAGUAGGGAAUCUUCCGCAAUGGACGAAAGUCUGACGGAGCAACGCCGCGUGAGUGAAGAAGGCC
This 400-nucleotide ribosomal RNA is filed under the name Heyndrickxia coagulans. RNAcentral's name for it is "bacterial SSU rRNA". It matches the Rfam family "Bacterial small subunit ribosomal RNA", at positions 28 to 416 of the family's 1533-position model. The record is from RNAcentral. Lineage: Bacteria; Bacillati; Bacillota; Bacilli; Caryophanales; Bacillaceae.